RNAcentral lists this ribosomal RNA (1591 nucleotides) under human gut metagenome. RNAcentral describes it as "bacterial LSU rRNA". It matches the Rfam family "Bacterial large subunit ribosomal RNA", at positions 462 to 2070 of the family's 2925-position model. The record is from RNAcentral.
AACCCUAAAUACUCUCUAGUGACCGAUAGUGAACCAGUACCGUGAGGGAAAGGUGAAAAGCACCCCGGGAGGGGAGUGAAAUAGAACCUGAAACCGUGUGCCUACAACAAGUUCGAGCCCGUUAAUGGGUGAGAGCGUGCCUUUUGUAGAAUGAACCGGCGAGUUACGAUAUGAUGCGAGGUUAAGUUGAAGAGACGGAGCCGUAGGGAAACCGAGUCUUAAUAGGGCGCAUUAGUAUCAUGUCGUAGACCCGAAACCAUGUGACCUACCCAUGAGCAGGUUGAAGGUGAGGUAAAACUCACUGGAGGACCGAACCAGGGCACGUUGAAAAGUGCUUGGAUGACUUGUGGGUAGCGGAGAAAUUCCAAACGAACUUGGAGAUAGCUGGUUCUCUCCGAAAUAGCUUUAGGGCUAGCGUCGAUGUUAAGUCUCUUGGAGGUAGAGCACUGUUUGGGUGAGGGGUCCAUCCCGGAUUACCAAUCUCAGAUAAACUCCGAAUGCCAACGAGAUAUAAUCGGCAGUCAGACUGCGAGUGCUAAGAUCCGUAGUCGAAAGGGAAACAGCCCAGACCACCAGCUAAGGUCCCAAAAUAUAUGUUAAGUGGAAAAGGAUGUGGGGUUGCACAGACAACUAGGAUGUUAGCUUAGAAGCAGCUAUUCAUUCAAAGAGUGCGUAAUAGCUCUCUAGUCGAGUGACCCUGCGCCGAAAAUGUACCGGGGCUAAAACAUAUUACCGAAGCUGUGGAUACCUUUAUAGGUAUGGUAGGAGAGCGUUCUAUGUGCGAAGAAGGUGUACCGUGAGGAGUGCUGGAGCGCAUAGAAGUGAGAAUGCCGGUAUGAGUAGCGAAAGACAGGUGAGAAUCCUGUCCACCGUAAGACUAAGGUUUCCAGGGGAAGGCUCGUCCGCCCUGGGUUAGUCGGGACCUAAGGAGAGACCGAAAGGUGUAUCCGAUGGACAACAGGUUGAUAUUCCUGUACUAGAGUAUAUAGUGAUGGAGGGACGCAGUAGGCUAACUAAACCAGACGAUUGGAAGUGUCUGGCCAAGCAGUGAGGUGUGAUAUGAGUCAAAUGCUUAUAUCUAUAACAUUGAGCUGUGAUGGGGAGCGAAGUUUAGUAGCGAAGUUAGUGAUGUCACACUGCCAAGAAAAGCUUCUAGCGUUAAUUAUACUCUACCCGUACCGCAAACCGACACAGGUAGUCGAGGCGAGUAGCCUCAGGUGAGCGAGAGAACUCUCGUUAAGGAACUCGGCAAAAUGGCCCCGUAACUUCGGGAGAAGGGGCGCUGACUUAUGGUCAGCCGCAGUGAAUAGGCCCAAGCAACUGUUUAUCAAAAACACAGCUCUCUGCUAAAUCGUAAGAUGAUGUAUAGGGGGUGACGCCUGCCCGGUGCUGGAAGGUUAAGAGGAGUGCUUAGCGUAAGCGAAGGUAUGAAUUGAAGCCCCAGUAAACGGCGGCCGUAACUAUAACGGUCCUAAGGUAGCGAAAUUCCUUGUCGGGUAAGUUCCGACCCGCACGAAAGGCGUAAUGAUUUGGGCACUGUCUCAACGAGAGACUCGGUGAAAUUUUAGUACCUGUGAAGAUGCAGGUUACC